This 30-nucleotide small RNA is filed under the name Bombyx mori (domestic silkworm). RNAcentral's name for it is "piRNA piR-bmo-1994359". The record is from RNAcentral. Lineage: Eukaryota; Metazoa; Arthropoda; Insecta; Lepidoptera; Bombycidae.
UGAUAUUGCUCGGUAGACCGACGGUCCGAA